Molecule: ribosomal RNA, 301 nt
Filed under: uncultured bacterium
Lineage: Bacteria
Description: partial 16S ribosomal RNA
Rfam family: Bacterial small subunit ribosomal RNA
Source: RNAcentral
CAGUCGCCGCGGUAAUACGAAGGGGGCUAGCGUUGCUCGGAAUUACUGGGCGUAAAGGGCGCGUAGGCGGACAGUUCAGUCGGGGGUGAAAGCCCGGGGCUCAACCACGGAAUUGCCUUCGAUACUGGCUGUCUUGAGUAUGAGAGAGGUGUGUGGAACUCCGAGUGUAGAGGUGAAAUUCGUAGAUAUUCGGAAGAACACCAGUGGCGAAGGCGACACACUGGCUCAUUACUGACGCUGAGGCGCGAAAGCGUGGGGAGCAAACAGGAUUAGAUACCCGUGUAGUCCCUGUCUCUUAUAC